CACAAGUCACAAACACACACACAACCCUAAAAAUGCAUUCAUUCCAUAUACAUCUCUACCCAACUCUAGUAGCGUUGCAGCAGCGAGAAGUCAGUAGCCACUAGGUUUCAUGUUUUUGCUGUCCAAGAAAGGCCUAAAGCCGAGCCACCGGAGGUGAUUAUAAAGAAGCCCGACAACAUUUAUUUUCGUGUCAAUUCCCCGGUUGUUGAUGAACACAUCACACGGUGAGAUUUCUUUUCGUGUCAAUUUCAUUUUUUUUUUAAUUUAUUUGGUUUGAUUAGUUCAAGGUCGGACCUAUAUACUACAUGAAGUAUUUAUAAGGUGUGAUUAUCUUCAUUGUUUCUCAAAUAGGUAAUUUGUCUUCUGGUACAGUGGAAGAAGCUCUGGAGCAUCCUUAUCUUCCAAAAUUACAUGAUAUAGCUGAUGAGCCAGUGUGCCCCGAGCCAUUCUCCUUUGAUUUGAGAAGCAAAUCUUGU
RNAcentral lists this long non-coding RNA (476 nucleotides) under Olea europaea subsp. europaea. Lineage: Eukaryota; Viridiplantae; Streptophyta; Magnoliopsida; Lamiales; Oleaceae. The record is from RNAcentral.